UGGGGAAUAUUGCACAAUGGGCGAAAGCCUGAUGCAGCAACGCCGCGUGCGGGAUGACGGCCUUCGGGUUGUAAACCGCUUUCAGCAGGGACGAAGGUUUUCUGACGGUACCUGCAGAAGAAGCACCGGCUAACUACGUGCCAGCAGCCGCGGUGAUACGUAGGGUGCGAGCGUUGUCCGGAAUUAUUGGGCGUAAAGAGCUUGUAGGCGGUUCCGUUGCGUCGGAAGUGAAAACUCAGGGGCUUAACCCUGAGGCCUGCUUUCGAUACGGGCGGACUUGAGGGAUGUAGGGAGAACGGAAUUCCUGGUGGAGCGGUGGAAUGCGCAGAUAUCAGGAGGAACACCAGUGGCGAAGGCGGUUCUCUGGACAUUUCCUGACGCUGAGAAGCGAAAGCGUGGGGNGCAAACAGGCUUAGAUACCCUGGUAGUCCACGCCGUAAACGGUGGGCACUAGGUGUGGGACCCAUUCCACGGGUUCCGUGCCGUAGCUAACGCAUUAAGUGCCCCGCCUGGGGAGUACGGCCGCAAGGCUAAAACUCAAAGGAAUUGACGGGGUCAU
RNAcentral lists this ribosomal RNA (559 nucleotides) under uncultured bacterium. RNAcentral's name for it is "partial 16S ribosomal RNA". It matches the Rfam family "Bacterial small subunit ribosomal RNA", at positions 355 to 922 of the family's 1533-position model. The record is from RNAcentral.